RNAcentral lists this transfer RNA (71 nucleotides) under Archangium lansingense. Its description in RNAcentral is "tRNA-Trp". Lineage: Bacteria; Pseudomonadati; Myxococcota; Myxococcia; Myxococcales; Archangiaceae. The record is from RNAcentral.
AGGCCGCGCUCCGGGAGCAGCCUGGACUCCAAAUCCGGGCGUGCGGGGUUCAACUCCUCGGCGGCCUGCCA